Papaver somniferum (opium poppy) is the source of this 2289-nucleotide long non-coding RNA. RefSeq lists it as uncharacterized. The transcript has 9 exons. The record is from RefSeq and is a predicted model, not a curated record. Lineage: Eukaryota; Viridiplantae; Streptophyta; Magnoliopsida; Ranunculales; Papaveraceae.
UAACCUCCCUCUUCACCUCCCCAUAUUCAAUUUCAGUUCUUCUGUAACACUUCAAACUUUUUUCUACCAACCAUAUUGUUUAGGCCGUUCAAUUAAAACUCCCCAGAUGUAUUUCAUGGGUUAUAUAUAUAUGAUCAAUCAUUGUAACGAAUGGCAACCGACAUCAUCACCCCGUUCGAACAUGUAUUCUUCUCUCUCACUGAUUCGUUUUUUUUAUGAUUUCGCAGAAUCAUCAUAUUGAAAUUGAACUGGUGUACAAACCAGUAGCAGGUUCAUACAAGAUCAUUGAUGAGAUUUUGGUGAAGGAUGCUAAUAAUAAACGAAGGGUAUGAGUUGGACUGAUGAAAACUGAUAUUCAUGUUUAAGGGAAACUGAGACUGCUAAUGGAAAACGGAAGAAAAUGUAUAAACAGAUGGGUUCAUAUAACAGAUGUUAUUUUCAAUGGGAUUACACCCAGAUAAUAUCUUUCCAGUCCAUCUCCAGAGAUUUGAUUUGACUAACCUUUUUGGUGAUGAGGGCUUCUCCAUUUCGGCAGCACGCAUUCAACUUAAUUCAGAUGCCCCCUCCUUUAGGAACCAUGAUUAUCAUAUUCCCUAAACCAAUUUCUGCAGAUUGAAAUUGGUUUCAUAUCAUUGUUAGAUUUUAGAGUUUCUUCCAAGUUUCAUACUAAUUUGCACCAGCUCUUCCAACAUCUCCCAGAACCACCUACAAAACUUUCAAACAUACAACAGAGGAUGAAGAAGGCAAAUCCCUGGAUGACCCGCAUUCGAAUCUCAAAACUAGGACGAAUUAGAUUUCAUGGGGAUUAAUGAUGUCACCAGUUUGGAUGUGUUCAUGCUUGAUGACAAUGGCGAGAAACUACACGGGAUGGUACCAAAGAACCUAAUCCGGAAAUUUGAUCCUUGCUUCCCAUUGGCGACAUAUAUUUCCUACACUAUUCUUGGGGGAAAAGAAGAUAUUUUGCCCCGCUCGCAGUGACCACCGUCUCUUCUUCAAGUGGGAUACCGAGGUGAAGCCUCUGCGCUGCACUUCGGUUAAACAAGCUCAAUUUUACCCAGUAUGAAGAUUUAAAAUCGCGAUCUGCAAAUGCUUAUUUUAUGGGAAAUGAAUAGAGCCAAUGGUCAUUGCACGAUGCGGGACCUCACUCUUCAGAACCUAAGGAAAACACAAAGGAUAUUGUUGCAAGUUCAAACCAUCCAUUGUCGCACUACUAUAAGUUGUUGGGGGUACUGCAAUUUUUGAUUAUCAUGAGAUUUAAGUUGUUGAUAGAAGUACCACCCAAUUUUUGUGAUUUACAAUACUCAUAACUGACAUGACGAUCAAAGUUGUUGGACAGUACAAGUACAUCUGUAUGCAUUAACAGUUGCUAUGGGUCUUCACAAGUGUUGUGGGUUGUUGCCAUCCAAGUUAAGAUUUUUUUUAAAGGGAGGAGAUAAGGUUAAAAAAGGCCGGGAAACUGACGAAUGGAAUUAAGGGAAAAAUAUUACAAAUGCACAAGUUGUCGUGAAUCCAUAAUCGCAAUGCUCAAACCAAGGUGUAAAGCAAAUGAAAAAUUGUUUUCAUUUUUAUGAUACCUAGAUAUGGCAUGAUUCAAAUGGAUGUUUAUAGGCAAUAUCAACAACUGCGGCUUUAAAUACCAUUUGUACCAGGUUGAAUUGGGUCAGGAACAUGGAUUACAUGAUGAUCUUCAGCUCUCAAUUUUUUGUUUUUUGUUGAACUCCGGAUCAUUUGGAUUGAUAUUUGCGUCUUCCAAGAAAAUACAACUCAGGAACUCUUCUUGCGUGAUAUUCAGGUAUUAAGAAUGUGGAGAUUCAUGAUCACUUCCCUGUGAGUUUCCAUUCACAAGCCCUCGAUGAGAGUGAAGUUUAUGAAUUUUGCAGGAUUGAUACUCAUUUGGGGUCGAUGAGGCUCAUAACACUUGCUCACAUUAUGUUUAAAUUCCCAUGUGAAAGAGAAUUAAUACGGUUUCAAUCCAAGAGAAGAUUAGUUGGGAACUAGAUAAACUUCCCGAGAUUAUCCGAGUCCUAAGGAUUAUUGAUUUGCUACAUGAACUCUUCUAUGUAGGGUUCUCUUGAAUUUUAAGAAUUUUAGGGUUUAAGCACCUUGCCAGGUAAUCUUUACAAGCUUCUCAUUGUACUUAUAUAUACAAGAAAAUGACGAGUUUUUUAUUCAAAAUCUAAGGUAAGUUGAAAAAAAGUAAGUAUCAAGGUGUAAGAAGCUCAACAAUUGUUACAGACACACGAAUAUGUAAUAAUUUUGUGUUGUUAAUCUUAGUUGUGUUUUCAGUUA